RNA transcript from Bombus huntii, 7105 nucleotides. It is a transcript of the gene named heat shock factor protein-like, with no coding region annotated. The record is from RefSeq and is a predicted model, not a curated record. NCBI's taxonomy places the organism in Eukaryota, Metazoa, Arthropoda, Insecta, Hymenoptera, Apidae. The transcript has 13 exons.
UAUUUCCCCCUUUCUCUCCACCUGUAACUACUACUAGCAGAAUAACAUCGUCAGCGGCCAGCCAUUGUCGUGAGAUGUGAAGAUUUUUUUCGUGAAAGAUCAAGAUCAAAAGUGGAGAAAUUACAAAUUGCAGAAAUGCAUACAAUCCCGGAAUUGGGUACCAGUGUACCAGCGUUCCUUGCCAAACUUUGGAAGUUGGUCGAAGAUUCUGAUACUGACGACCUUAUUUGUUGGUCACCUAAUGGAAGGAGUUUUUUCAUUAGAAAUCAGGCACAAUUUGCCAGAGAAUUAUUGCCACAUUACUACAAACACAAUAACAUGGCCAGUUUUAUCAGGCAGUUGAAUAUGUAUGGUUUUCACAAGAAAGUUUCUGUAGAAUUUGGUGGUUUAAAAUGUGAUAAGGAUGAAAUGGAAUUCGCACAUCAAUUCUUCUGUAAAGGUCAUCCAUAUCUUGUAGAACAUAUUAAAAGAAAAAUUGCCUCUAAUAAAGGACAAGAUCCAGCACUUACUCCUAUUAAACCAGAACUAAUGAAUAAAAUGCUUACUGAAGUAAGAAGUAUGAGAGGUCGUCAAGAACAUUUAGAUUCAAGACUUGGAGCCAUGAAAAGAGAAAAUGAAGCACUGUGGCGAGAACUAGCAAUGCUUAGACAGAAGCACCUUAAACAACAGCAAAUUGUUAAUAAACUUAUACACUUUUUAGUUACAUUGGUACAGCCUUCCAGAAGUGGUGGUCUCUCUGUUAAAAGAAGAUAUCCACUAAUGAUCGACGAUUCUAACCGUCAACGUAACAAACAGGCGAAAUUAUCAAAGUCACAAACAUCACCAGCGGGUCCUGUAAUUCACGAACUUGAUUCAUCAGAACCGGAUUUAGAUUCGGAAUAUAUUGUUGCAGAAAUGUUGGAAGGACAUCCAAACCCAGCUAUUGAAAGUCCUGAGCAUAAUAACACUUCAAUAAUGGAAGACAAUAAUAUGGAAACAAUUCAUUUAGUUGAUGAUCCUCUUCACUUACCAGAUGAUAUAGAACUUAUUAAUUCUCAAGAAACUGAAACAAAGAAAAAACGUGGAUGUAAGGGUAAGAAGAAGAGGAAAAACAAGGUGCCGGUCAAAAUUUUGAUCCCAUCGACGGAGGAUGGAGAGGAACCAAGGGAAGAAACACAUUUGCUUGAAAUACCAUUAGACGCUGCACCGGUGAUCGCUUUACUGAAAGAUAAACCAGCCUCAAAGGCAGUACCUCUGUCAACUAUGCGUAGUCCAAAGCUCGCAGCAAUGGCAGCUAAUAUGAACAAAGUCACUAAUGUAAAGUGUGAGCUCGAUUUGGGAACUUCAACAGAUAUGGAGGAAGAUGUUCAGGAGAAUAAUCCAACUCUGGUAAAACUCGAAGAUAUUUUAAUAGUACCAGAAAUAAUCAACGAGGAUGUUGAAACCGAGAAUGUCGAGUUUAGUGAAAACAAUAACAAUUCUGAAAGCAAUGAAACCAAUGCCACUUUCAAUCAACUUGACAAAGUAAAUGAUAACGUUGAACAGAAUAACGAAAAAAACUUUUAUACAAAUGGUGCUCAGAAAUGUUCGGGGCAGAACAAAGACAACUGCAAUGGAGCAGGGACAAGCAAUUCAAAAGAUUUGUCAUUGAGUUGCAUCAUUCCCUCGGGCAUGUCUGAUGCUGCUUACAGGUUAGGAUCAAUGGAGGAAAUGGAUAAUCACCUCGAAACAAUGCAAACAGAAUUGGACAAUCUCCGCGAUAUUCUACGAUGCGAGGGUUAUAGUAUCGAUGCAAAUACGCUUCUUGGUUUAUUUGGAGCAGAUGAUCCAAUGUCAUUUGGUAUGCCAGUUAAUCCAGAGUUGAACCCACAAUCUGAAAAAGAAGAGGAAAAUCAUGCUAAUGUUGCAGAAAAUAAUAAUGGAACUGGUGGUGGUGAACUUAUGGCAUAUAAUCCUGUUCAAAACUUCUUAGAUUUCGACGAUGACAUUUUCUUGGAGGCCACAUCUCCUCCAACUAGCACAGCAGGUGGUGAUACAGCUAUAAUCAAUCUUUAUAGCUCGGAUUCUCUCGAUUUGGAGGAUAGCAAAUUUUCAUUUCUGAAUUCCUUAACAAAUGAUGUGAACACUUCAUCAUAAAGUCUCAUUCCUAUGGUUCAGAUCUGUUGCGUCCAAUGCUUUGGUUUCAGUAUGUUUUAUUCUCGAUGGAUCAUCACGAGCAUGCUCUCUCUCUCUUUCUCUCUCUGUCGCUCUCGGUGUAUUUUGAUGACCAAAUAAGCAACGAGCUUGUAAUGUACUGACAAUAGUACCUGAGGAAAAUGCGGUCAAUCAAAUGAUCCCAUCGGUUUAUGGAGGACAAUAAAUAAGUGAAAACAGCAGGAGCGCAUAAAAUCCUCUGGAUUUGCUGCUAUAUAUGCAUACAAAGCAAUUAAAAAAUUUGAUUGUUUCGUUAAUUUUUUUAUGAGUUAACGUUAAUGUUGUGCCGUACUUUAUUUAUAGUAUAUAUUAUUACAAUAUAAAACAAAAAUCAAACAAGGAAAUUGUUCAUUUGCCGAUAUAUUUCAUAUCUGUGUAAAUACUUUUCCUUUUUUUCAUGUAUAUAAUUCGAUCAAAAAUAAUUUGUUUAUUUUAAAGACACGGAAGCACGUUAUAGUGACUAACGUUUCUUAUCGAUCGUACAAUGCAAACUUGAAGUUCCUGCAUAUCUUAUAUUAAAGAAUUAUCGUACUACCAUAUAUUUAUUGCGUAAUCUUUUUUAAACAAUUCGAACAGAAAUUGCAGAAAUACAAUAAGACAAUCAAAUAUUGUUAAAGGCAUCACUUAGGUUUCUGUGUACUUUUGUCAUCUGUAAUUUCUAAUGAUCAUAUUAUUUAUGAGGAUUUGAAUUGUCUUGCUUGAAUUCCAUCCACGUAAAUAAUAAAAGAAAGAAGUAUAUACGAAAUUCGUAUUUUUUGUACUAAAUUCUUCUUAAAAAGAAGAAUAAUCGUAUAUAAUACACAUUGAAUCUAAAAAAUAAUUACAUUGAAAUGUUCAGUGUUCUUGUAGAUCAAGGUGUAUUGUACAGAAAGAAAAAGAAAACGCUAGAAGCGAAAGAAUUUUAUAUUUUUAUAAUACAAAGAAUCUGUGCGUUUAACGUUUUUUUGAAGAUGAUAAUUAGUAUUUAUUUAUAAACGUCGACUCAUUGUACACAAAACAAUUCUUUUUUCUACGUUUGUGUAAAUAUACACUUAGAUUCUGACAACCUUGUAACUCAUAAAAUAACUUAUAAAAGAAUUCGUUACGUAAAAGUACAAUCAUUUUAUUGUUACAAUAUUCUAUAGAAAAAACUAAUAAAGAAUAUCUUCAUUUGAAAUGAAAUGGUCAGCAAAUGUGUACUUACUAUAAUAUACAAUACAGUAUAGCACACUUUAUUUUCUAUAUUAGAAAAUACAUACUUGAAGCAAUUUGUUUUUUGUACAGACUCAUAAAUAUUGAAUAUGAUUAUAAUACAUUUCUUUGUUUUAACAAAUACAUGGAUGAAAUUGAUUAUAAUUGACUUGUUUAUACAAAUAUAUAAAACAAAUACUUCUAAAAUAAAUAUGUGAAUGUCUUUUAAUUCAUUUUUGCAUCUCUAUUAACCUGAAUUCUAUAGUGACUGUAUAUAUAUGCUGAUAAAUAUAAGUUUCUUACUUCCUAACUGUCUGUUUGAUCUACAAGUUACUAUUAAAAAAUUACUACUGAUUGUCAAAAAGUACGAAUAUAUAUAUAUAUAUUUUUUUUUUGAAAGAAGAAUAAAAUAUUUAUAUUAAAUGCGUCAUAGAAACUACAUGAAUAUUUUAGUUUAAUAUUCAGUAAAUUUGGUGAAAAAUGUUGUUUGUCUCUAAAAUGAAAACAUGUAUUAAUUAUAUACAAUUCCUUUUGUUUUUUUUAUACUAACAAAAUUAGUUCCAUGUGUUUGCAGCUAAUUAUUCUACAGCAAUCGGACACUUCGUUAUUUUAUUUAUUUAGCUUAACAAAAAAAAAUAUUCUUUAUCAGGCUAAAAUUAACCGAAAGCAAAGUACAAAUUAUCUAUACUUCUUAAAAAACGAACAUAGGAAUAAUCUAUGGAUGGAUCGUUGAUAUUUCAGUUACACUUAAAAUAAAGCUUUGGAAGAAAGACUGCUGGAUUUUUAAUCGCCUUAUUGGUAAUGUCUUCGUUUUAAUUAGUGAAUAUGAUGCUACGGUAAACCCUGUAACAAGUUUAGUAUGAAGGGGAUGAUGUAAAGAAUUGAAGAGGUACACACAGUGGUUCAUGCUUAAAAUUCCUUGAAGAAGGAAAUAAAGAAUCAAACGAUAUAAAUCUAUAAAUCGGAAGAAACAAUUUAUCUUCGUGUUGAUGAGGAUAGAUACUAAACAAAUAAAAACGUAUUCUACGAACUAUCAUUGAAAGAAUAUAUAGCAUAAAAAAAGCAAAAGCAAAUAUGCGCGUAUCGUGUAUGUAUCGACAAAGGGCUGUAAUUUCCAGUUUCACCGACUUGUACAUAAUUAUGCAGGAUUCUGCAUUGAUAAAAAACAUAAAAUGUUUCCUAAAAAUGUCCAUUACCUGAAAAGUAACAAUUUUUUUACAUGUGUAUGUAAUGCACAGUAUUAGAUUAUAAAUGAAUUAAUUCUAUGUUGAGCGGCAUAUACGCUAAAAGGUGCACAGAUGUAUAUAUAUACAAAUCUAUACAUAUAUAUAUGCAGAAAGUGAGCAUGUUAAAGGUAUAAAAUUUGUUUAAUAAUGUCAGUCUAUUUUUUCGUAAACGUCUUUUUAUUGUGGUAUAAGGUUUAAACAAACCUAAAAUGUUGAAACAAAGUUUAAACAAAGUUAAAGGUGAUAGUACAACCUAAGAUUUCAGUGUCUAGUUCCACUAUCACUCCCGUUGUUGUGUAAAAGAUUUUUCUUUACUUUUAAUCAACACUUUUUCAUAUAUUUAAUCUUCUAGAUUUCCUUUUUUCAAUCCUGCUUUUUAAUUUUAUUUUUCUAAUUUUUGUUUUGAGUGUGUUAAAGGCUAUGUGAAAGUAAUACUAUUGAUAAGAAUAUCUAAUUAAUUUUGUAAAUGAAUUUGAUCAUAGAGCGUGAAUAAGUAAGUAGGGUGUUAAGUAAUUAUUUAGAAUAUUUAUGGAAUCAAGAUACUUAACUAAAUAAUUAAUCCAUAUUUUUGUUGUAUAAAUCAAAAACAUUUUUUUUAUUUUCAUUGUGAAAUAAAAAUUAUGUUCAUUCACACGUACAAUUACUUGUAUGCAGUAGAUAGUUCAAACCAAUAAAUGUCUUUCACCAAACACUGAAAUCUUAAUGUUGAAUCUUUACAAAAUAGAUUGAGUUUGUGUAUAUCAGAAAAUAAUAUAAACAGAAUAGUACACUGUAAUCUUUGUUAGAUUAACAUGUUAUUUUAAUUUAGUAAUAAAUAGAUUUUUUUAUAUUCAUUUGUGAAGAAAAACACCAUAUAUUACAAAUUCAUAAAAAACUUAGCAUAUGUUAUAUAAUUCCAUAUACAGUGAAGUGUCAACCAUACAUUUAUGUAGUUUACUUUUCUUUACAUAUUACAAUAUUUCAACCUUACAAAUAUUUCAACACACUUCAUAAUUUCUUAGAUUUAACUCAUUUAAAUUACUUAUCUAUGUGUUAACAUUACUUUUAUUAUGUAAUUAUUAAGCGUCUGUUAAUUAAUUUACAAUGCAAUAUGUGAACAACUUAAAAAACCUUUUUGUUCAAAAUAUUUAUUAAAGAAAAUUGUUAUUGAUCUUCUAUGGGCUAACUGUUAAUUUUUUUUCUAUUAAACUAAUAGAAAGUCAUUAGUUUCAAACGAUUAACUCAAAUUAUAUCAAUUUGUUUUAUCAUUUGAUUAUUAAGUGUAUGUACACUUUAAAGAAUAUUUAACCAAACGAUUAUUCACUUACUCAUGGAAGAUCAAACUACAAGAGUGUAACAAAAUCAAAAUAAUGUAUCCUGUACAAAAGUAUAGUUGAUACUACACACUUGUAGAUAUCCAAUUUUGUGAUACAUUAAAGUUUUGUACAAAAAGGUAGGGUGAUUAAAAACAGGUGACAAUUCCUCCUUUCCCGGUUAUAAAUUGCAUGUUUUGCUAUUAAUUAUAAAAAUACCAGUUACAAUAGAAUUAAAGGAUAAAUUAAAAUGUAUCUAAACGUCUGGAGGAAAUCAUUGAGAAACAAACUUGUAAUUUUUAUUUACCGACAUCUAUCUUCUAAAUUCAAUAUCUAUACUCUUAUUUUUACUAUAUCACAAAAGGAAAUUGACUUUAUUCUGCUGUUUAUAACUAACGUUAUCACAUGAUAAAUAUAUAUAUUUAAAAAAGCAGCGAUCGAUUAAAAACAUUAUAAUAUCUUUGAAAACCACAAUUUUAAUCGAAAUUACUUCAUUCGACACAGACAAGCUUUUAACUAUCAUUAAAAAUAAUGUUAAAUUUGUUUGUUUCUAAAUAAAAUUUAGAUCAUUGUUUACAUAAUCUUAUUAUAUAUCCUAAUUCGAACGAUCUAUCCUUAUAUAAAAAUUUUAUACUAUUUAAAAAUACUCGAAAAUCUCCGGUGCGUUAACGAAAUAUAUAUUGCAAUAUGUUCAAAUAAUAAUAUGCUGAGCAAUUUGCUGAAAGGAGUAACUUGAAUAAUAUUAUUUUUUAUAUAACGAUAACGAUAUAAUCUAGACUAUAAGUUUUUGAGGAGCAAAUCUUACAUUAUGUGCGAAAACCGAUUGUAUUUAUAUUUUAUAGAUUUUUUUAAUGGUAGCAUUUUCACAAAAAUAUUUCAAUUUAAAUUUCAGUAUAGAAAUUAUUAACAUUGUUUUUAUACUAUAUGUAUGAAGUUAUUUUAUGUACAAAGAUUUGUUUAAAAAUACUUUGACCAUUUCAAUUGCAGCUAUUAUCUACUUAUUAGUUAUUGUCUAAAAAAAGAAUCUGUAUUAAAUUUCUCGAUUUAAUAUAUAAAAAUUCCUAAAUUUUGAAGUUAUUUUAAUUUCGGAUAGCUGAGCUAUGAAUAUCGGAAAAAGUGAUGAAUCCUUAAAACGCGUAUAAAAUGUUAUACAUAAUUAUUAUUUUUAUCAUUUCUGUAAUACUUGCUGUAAUACCAAUUAAAUUGUACCAUAAAGCAGAAUAAAAUUCGUUAUAAAAUCGUAAA